Molecule: long non-coding RNA, 4193 nt
Organism: Mauremys mutica (yellowpond turtle)
Lineage: Eukaryota; Metazoa; Chordata; Testudines; Geoemydidae
Exons: 3
Source: RefSeq, a predicted model, not a curated record
CUCCCCAGGCCCCUGAAUCUCUCCAGUGCUCCUGACUCUCCCAGCCCUGUAACCCCCAGCCAUGCUCCGAGUCCUAUUUCCCAGUCUCAAGUGCACCUGCUCUCCAAUUCUUCCAUGCUCUGGGCCCCAGGACCUCCACUCCUUCCUGUCCCUUUCUUUCCUCAAAGGUCCAGGACCCCCAGUUUCUCUUCUGCUCCAGGCCAUUAAUAUCCUAUGCUCCAGGGUCCAUCCCCUUCCUUGCCUGCUCCCCAGAAACCACAUUACUCCAGGCCCCUUCAUUCACCCUGCCUCCUUGGCCCUCAUUAUUUCAUGUCUCCAAGCUUCCUCAGGAUGAGGAAGGAGACUUUUCUACUUCUUUGUAAUAAAUUUGCCCUGCCAUUGCAGCACAAAACCACGAAGGGGAUGGUUGAGUCAUAAAACUGAGAUCUCCAGUCGCAUCUGGAUCAGCCUGAAUAUGAACAUUGGACUAUAACCUAUGGACUAAUUUUAAAAGAACUCUUUGCAACUAUGAAGCUCACCAUCUCCACUAUGAAUCUGAUCUCAGAACUGUACUCAUGUCUGAACAUGACAUGGAGUCAGAAGUAAGCUACAAUGAGAGAAGAACAGAAACAGAAGGAAAACAGCAACAAAGGUUGCAAAAAGAAUGAACAAAGCAACAAAGAUUGCAGGGUCUCAUCAGCAUGCCACUCUUCAAUGCCCAGAGAAUUUCAGCUUUGACAAAUGGGUAGACUGGACCUAGUAUUUUGCAAGAUUUGUAAAUGCAAAUAAGUUCUACAAAAAAACCCUGGAGAUAUAUAGGUAUCAUCUUUAAUGUUUGCUAUGAGGAAGCAUGCAGAGCAUCUCUUUAAAUCCUUUGACUUUACUGAUGACACAAAGAUGACCAUGAAAGGGUUCUAGCUGCGUUUGAUGCAUACUUUAUACCUCAGAGAAAUGUGGUUUAUGAAAGAGCACAUUUUCACAUGAGCCAGGGGAAAAAUGUUUAAUGUUUUAUAAGAGCUCUGCAUACAUUGGCUGAAAACUGAUUUGGGGAAUGCAAAAAACAUGACAAUGUCAGAGACAGGAUGGUUAUAGGGUUAACAGAUAAAAAAUUUUCACAGCAGCUACAGUUGAAGACAGACUUAAUCGUAGCCAUAGCUAUACAGAAAGCAAAGCAGUUUGAACUAGUCAAACAACAGACCAAAAGGUAGGGGGAAACCUGAAAAACCUGAAACUAGCUUAGAAGCUACAAAGACACUUGACUGUUAACAUUCAUUAUCAUAAAACCUGUGCAGCAAGGAGAGAGAACUCCCAGGGCCAGAAAACAAAUUCCAGCCUGCAUGCUCAAGGUAUGGAAAAAGUCAUAUUCCAAGAGAUGCCUGUCCAGACAGAGAUGCACGGUGUAAUAAAUGCAGAAAAUAUUGACAAUUUGCAGCUGUUUGCUGUACCAAAGCAGUCAGGGAGUUGACUCGUUAUGGACAGACAGUCAAUCAAGAGUUAUUCUUACUGGGAUCUAUCACUUGUGAUGACCUAGAGCCUACCUGAAGAGUGAAACUGAAUAUUCAUGGCAAUACUAUUGACUUUAAAACUGACAUCACAGUAAUUUCAGAAGAGUCUUACAAUCACCUUCAACCCCUUUCAGAGCUGAAAACGCCUGACAAAACUUUGACUAGCCCUGGUGGUAUUCUGAAUUGCAUAGGCCACUUCACCACAGAAAGAGCUUAUGAAGACAAAAGCUUUGCAUUCAGAGUACAUGCAAAGGAUCAAAGACCAACAGCCUUCUCAGUUACAGCAUGGCAGUCAUGAUGGGUUUAAUGAAAAGGUGGAAGAACUUGACAGAGGAUUUGAUGAACUGGAGUUUUGAAAGACGACCCAGUACAAAUCAACUUAAGAGACAGUGUUGAAUCGUACAAGUACAAACACGUCUAUCAGAGGGACCUGGGAAGAGAGUAGCUGCAGAUCGAUGCAAAUUCAGAGGACAUCAUCAGAGGACCUGGUUGUAGUGGACUAUUUUUCCGGUAUAUAGAAAUCAUGUACUUGAAAGACAUAACACGUUGCAGUGUUAUUGUGAAACUGAGGUGCACUUUGAUAUUCCUGAACAACUAGUGAUGGACAAGGGACCACAUUUCACUGCAGCAGAAUUUAAUUAAUUCAAAACAAAAUAUGAUUUAUCAUGUAACAACAUGAUAAAAAUCAUUACCCACCGCUGACAUUACCCACAAGUGAAUGGAGAGGCUGAGAGAGCUGUACAGACAGCCAAGAAAAUUCUACAGCAGGAAAAUGCAUUCUUUGCUCUCCUGAGUUACAAAUCAACCCCAAUAAGGAUCCUGCACUGACCACAGCCAGUCAUUGCAACUAAUAGACAGUCAGAUGAUCAAGUUGUUGUGUGUUUGGGUUGUGUAUUUAGACAACCAGAAGGAUUCACAGACGCUGAACAGACUGAUACUUACUGAAUUUCAAAUAUAGUGUAAAUGGUAGGAAUGUAGAACUUCAAGGGGGAGAUUUAAUGGAAUGCUAAACUGUAUUAUACUGUUCAGCUAUUAGAUGGUGCUGUGUGUAAAAUUCCUUCUUUAAGCUCGCAACAGCCAUACCUGGCAGAACAUUAUGGGAUCUUAUGAUGAAUAUCUGGUGUGUAUCUCACUAAGAAGCAAGCUCUGUAGCCAAUCCAUGUCUGGUAUGGGACUAUGACAGCAUGCCAGAUUUUUGUACUGUAUACAAAUCCUAGCAGAGCCAAGUAUUUCACACACGUCUCAGAACACAAGGCACAAUGGAUUUAAUGUUUCAUUUCUCAUCUGUACAAAAGAACAAAUCCCACAAUAUUGUGUCCUGUGAAAGCAGCUUUUGUCCCAUAGAGAUGUGGCUGGGAAAUUGAUAGAACUUUGGCAUUACAAUUUCAUCCCCAAAUGCUAAUUCUCCAGUUUCUCUAAUACACCUGCCCUCCCAGUGGUUAUUACAGACUCUUGCCAGAAGAUGGAAAUAGGAAAUUGUUACCAUAUUAUUUAUUCAUCAUCAGCAUUAGUGAGCUUGGCCCUGAACAAUAAAACAAAGACACCCUUGCACUGAGGAGUUUGCAGUCUUAUGACAAAGGGACAAAUAAAGCCCUGCUAUAAGUAGGAGUAACUGAUGUCUGUGGGAAUUGUCCCCACUUACUCCAAGGCUGAAUUUGGUCCUUGCUCUCUCUACAAAAGAGGGUUGUGGUAGCUAAAUGUUUCAGUCCAUCCUGACUGACCUGAUCAGCUAAUCUUUCACAUUUUAUUCUACCUGAUUUGGAUCAUGGCUCAUUUUCUUGCUUUCUUAUUGAGCUACUUUUUCUUUUCUUGGUCUUUCCAGAGCUCAGUAUCUCCCUGAUUCUCUAAAAGCAGGGAUGGCUUUGUGAGCAAACCGCCCUGCGCUCUAGUAUCUCUGUGCUGUCUCAAACUGACCCACAGGUCAGAGCCUCAGGUUGGGAAAGGGAGGCUGUUCAGAGGCCUCUCCUCAGACUCAGUGGAUCUGCCACAGCAUGUUUGGUUAAUUAGUUCUCAGUUGGCACUUCCCUUGCCUCAUUUUAUUAGCCAAGUCCCCCUAAAAUCCAUCAAGUUUGUCAUUCCUGCUGUGGGCAGAACAGUGUGGAAAUAGAGUCUCCAGUAUCCAAACUCUGACAGUGGCCAGCAGCAGAGGAAGAUGUAAGCAAAUCUGCAGUGGGCAAUUAUGGUAUAACCUGUCCUUAGGGGGAAUGUGUCUUCCUAACCCCUAGCACUUAGUGGCUGUCUCAUGCUCUGAACCAGGAGGUUUUAUAGCCCUUUGAUUUUUGUUUUCUCCCAUUAAAUGUAACUGCAGACGUUCUCAUGAUACAUUUAAAUUACAUACCAAAAACUACCUUAAAAGAACAUUUUUUAAGUUGCAAAGUCAAGCUCUAGAAAGUUAGGGAAAGUUAGAGUUACAGUUGGCCUGCACAUCCUUAAUUCUGCCUCCUUGUGCAUAACUCCUGGGGAGUCAGGCAGGGGUCGUGCGGAAAAAAACAGAAUGUGAUCAUGUACUUAAAGUACAUGCAUAUGCACAAGGGGGGCUGAAUUGAAGUUGCACAGGCAAUCCAACAGCUGGCAUUUUGUAACUUUUUGACUGCUUGACUUGGCAGCCACAGAAGGCUGUUUAUUCCAUGGAAGGGAUGGGCUGCUAGGACCAGGAAAUGGCUGGAGGACUCUGGUCUAGCACAGCUCAUCCUAGCAGGAGGCAGGAUC